UCGGGAAUAUUGGACAAUGGGCGCAAGCCUGAUCCAGCCAUGCCGCGUGAGUGACGAAGGCCUUAGGGUUGUAAAACUCUUUCGUCGGGGACGAUAAUGACGGUACCCGAAGAAGAAGCUCCGGCUAACUUCGUGCCAGCAGCCGCGGUAAUACGAAGGGAGCUAGCGUUGUUCGGAAUCACUGGGCGUAAAGCGCACGUAGGCGGAUAGUUAAGUCAGGGGUGAAAUCCUGGGGCUCAACCCCAGAACUGCCUUUGAUACUGGCUGUCUCGAGGUCGAGAGAGGUUGGUGGAAUUCCUAGUGUAGAGGUGAAAUUCGUAGAUAUUAGGAAGAACACCAGUGGCGAAGGCGGCCAACUGGCUCGAUACUGACGCUGAGGUGCGAAAGCGUGGGGAGCAAACAGGAUUAGAUACCCGCGUAGUCCCUGAGCGGGCUGGCAAGGCG
This 444-nucleotide ribosomal RNA is filed under the name uncultured bacterium. RNAcentral describes it as "bacterial SSU rRNA". It matches the Rfam family "Bacterial small subunit ribosomal RNA", at positions 355 to 822 of the family's 1533-position model. The record is from RNAcentral.